UCUAAUACCGGAUAACACUGUCCCCCUCCUGGGGGACGGUUGAAAGCUCCGGCGGUGCAGGAUGAGCCCGCGGCCUAUCAGCUUGUUGGUGGGGUAAUGGCCUACCAAGGCGACGACGGG
Molecule: ribosomal RNA, 120 nt
Filed under: Actinoalloteichus caeruleus
Lineage: Bacteria; Bacillati; Actinomycetota; Actinomycetes; Pseudonocardiales; Pseudonocardiaceae
Description: partial 16S rRNA
Rfam family: Bacterial small subunit ribosomal RNA
Source: RNAcentral